UUUUCAGGUAUUGACACUGACAAGUACAACUAUCCAAUUGGCUCUGGCAGAGUUACAUUCAACAAUGUUCAGUCCUACAGGAAAGCUGUUAGAGCAGAAUUUAUACAGAUAAAAACUCCAAAAUUUAAAAAGAAGGUACAAGUUGACCCAUACCUAGCAGACACUCUCUGCCAGCUGUGUGGCAUGCAUCUGGGCCCAUAUUUCUGCCGUGAUGAGAAUUGCUUCAAGUAUUUCUGUCUAUCUUGCUGGCAGUUGACUCACCCAGUUGAUGCACAUGGUGGCCAUAAGCCAAUAAUGAGAAGUUCAAAGUUGCGUACUCAGACAACUCUCAGCCGUGUUAUAUAACUUUCCACAAGCCAGAUCCUGCCAUGUUUGUUGAUUUUCUAGAUUAUAAAAUUUUAUUUUGUAACUUGAAUCUAUAUUGUUUCUAUUAAUGUGGAAUUCUAUAUUGAAUACAAUUGUUUUUGUACUUUGCAUUCAAAAAAUGGAUGUGCUUGUCUUUUGGCAAGACUAAUUUUAGUAAAUUUGUUUUUAUGUGGAUUUAAAAGGUGGCUUUACCUAUAACCAUUGAUAGACAACUGCAGUGUUGGUGUAUGGUUUUAUUAUAGUAGCACUUGGUACAAGCCUAGGAAAAAUAUUCAUAGUAUUCACAAUAGGAUUCCAACAGCUUUUAACAGGCCAGUUUAGACUAGUUUUAAUAGUGCACAAUGACAUUAGUAUUAUCCCAACAUUUUAACAUUUACAUCAUGCUUAAAGCUGUAUGGAAAAGCCUCUUGGCUUUCUUUUUUUUUUUUUUUUUUUUUUUUUUUAAGCCUGAUUUUUUAGUGCAGUCCACCAAAGCACUUUUAUUCCUUUUUGGUUCUUAUUUGUGUUGGGCACAAAAUUGUAGGAAGUGCAGCCAUGAUUUUAUUUCAUUUAGUGUCUUGAUCAAUCAAGUUUAGGCAAAGGUUGGUGGUUUUAGGUAGAGCACAAUUUGUCCCAAAUUUUAAUUGAAUUUCUUCAUUUAAGUUUUUUCUUUAUUUUAAUGUGAAUUCCACAUAGAAAAAAAAAGGCAAGAUAUGAGAAGAAACAGCUGUAGUAUCAUUACUUCCAACUGGAAGUUUUAGUUUAUAUUUAAAGAUACUGUUUAUAUAAGGUGUGGUAUAAAGUGGUAA
Molecule: non-coding RNA, 1154 nt
Organism: Cherax quadricarinatus
Lineage: Eukaryota; Metazoa; Arthropoda; Malacostraca; Decapoda; Parastacidae
Source: RefSeq, a predicted model, not a curated record